This 494-nucleotide ribosomal RNA is filed under the name uncultured bacterium. RNAcentral's name for it is "partial 16S ribosomal RNA". It matches the Rfam family "Bacterial small subunit ribosomal RNA", at positions 28 to 507 of the family's 1533-position model. The record is from RNAcentral.
GACGAACGCUGGCGGCGUGCUUAACACAUGCAAGUCGAACGGUGAAGCGCCUUCCUUUUUGGUGGGUGUGGAUGAGUGGCGAACGGGUGAGUAACACGUGAGUAACCUGCCCCCUUCUUCUGGAUAACCGCAUGAAAGUGUGGCUAAUACGGGAUAUUCUGGGUCUGUCGCAUGAUGGGUCUGGGAAAGAUAUUGUUUCGGUGGGGGAUGGGCUCGCGGCCUAUCAGCUUGUUGGUGGGGUGAUGGCCUACCAAGGCGGUGACGGGUAGCCGGCCUGAGAGGGUGGACGGUCACACUGGGACUGAGACACGGCCCAGACUCCUACGGGAGGCAGCAGUGGGGAAUAUUGCACAAUGGGCGCAAGCCUGAUGCAGCGACGCCGCGUGAGGGAUGGAGGCCUUAGGGUUGUGAACCUCUUUCGCCAGUGAAGCAGGCCUGCCUCGUUUGUGGGUGGGUUGACGGUAGCUGGAUAAGAAGCGCCGGCUAACUACGUG